Molecule: ribosomal RNA, 400 nt
Filed under: uncultured bacterium
Lineage: Bacteria
Description: bacterial SSU rRNA
Rfam family: Bacterial small subunit ribosomal RNA
Source: RNAcentral
CUGGCCUUGACAUCCUGCGAACUUUCUAGAGAUAGAUUGGUGCCUUCGGGAACGCAGUGACAGGUGCUGCAUGGCCGUCGUCAGCUCGUGUCGUGAGAUGUUGGGUUAAGUCCCGUAACGAGCGCAACCCCUAUCCUUAGUUGCUAGCAGUUCGGCUGAGAACUCUAGGGAGACUGCCGGUGACAAACCGGAGGAAGGUGGGGAUGACGUCAGGUCAUCAUGGCCCUUACGGCCAGGGCUACACACGUGCUACAAUGGUGCGUACAGAGGGCUGCAAACCCGCGAGGGGGAGCUAAUCUCACAAAACGCAUCGUAGUCCGGAUCGGAGUCUGCAACUCGACUCCGUGAAGUCGGAAUCGCUAGUAAUCGCGAAUCAGAAUGUCGCGGUGAAUACGUUCCC